UCUCCGUAGGUGAACCUGCGGAGGGAUCAUUACAGAGUUCAUGCCCUACCGGGUAGAUCUCCCACCCUAUGUUAUUAUUACUUUGUUGCUUUGACGGGCCGUUAGGCUCCGGCCCGACUACCGGCCCCGGCUGGUAAGCGCCCGCCAGAGGACCCAAAACCCCGAAUAUUAGUGUCGUCUGAGUACUAUAUAAUAGUUAAAACUUUCAACAACGGAUCUCUUGGUUCUGGCAUCGAUGAAGAUCGCAGC
RNAcentral lists this unclassified non-coding RNA (249 nucleotides) under plant metagenome. Its description in RNAcentral is "partial contains small subunit ribosomal RNA, internal transcribed spacer 1, and 5.8S ribosomal RNA". The stretch from base 201 to 249 matches the Rfam family "5.8S ribosomal RNA", at positions 1 to 49 of the family's 154-position model. The record is from RNAcentral.